RNAcentral lists this ribosomal RNA (296 nucleotides) under uncultured Bacteroidales bacterium. Its description in RNAcentral is "partial 16S ribosomal RNA". It matches the Rfam family "Bacterial small subunit ribosomal RNA", at positions 1089 to 1382 of the family's 1533-position model. The record is from RNAcentral. Lineage: Bacteria; Pseudomonadati; Bacteroidota; Bacteroidia; Bacteroidales.
GCAACGAGCGCAACCCUGUUUCCAGUUGCCAUCAAGUAAAAGUUGGGGGACGUCUGGAGAGACUGCCUGCGCAAGCAGAGAGGAAGGUGGGGAUGACGUCAAGUCAGCACGGCCCUUACGUCCAGGGCUACACACGUGCUACAAUGGCCGGUACAGAGGGCAGCGACCUGGUGACAGGUAGCGAAUCUCCAAAGCCGGUCUCAGUUCGGAUCGGAGUCUGCAACUCGACUCCGUGAAGCUGGAUUCGCUAGUAAUCGGAUAUCAGCAAUGAUCCGGUGAAUACGUUCCCGGGCCUU